Non-coding RNA from Mus musculus (house mouse), 267 nucleotides. The record is from Rfam. Lineage: Eukaryota; Metazoa; Chordata; Mammalia; Rodentia; Muridae.
UGGUGCCCAACGUGUGGCUUGAGUACCAAGGCUACAGUGAAGAACACUGCAGUGUUUCUGUUCGGCCGAUUUUGUGUGGAAGAUGCCCUGCGUGGGAGCCUGCCGCCUCAACUAGAGAUCCUGGUGAGUCCUGGGUGGUCAUGACACCUAGUAACCUAGUAACCGUGAACAAGAGUGGAAGGUUUGAAAAAGACUUUAAAGGUACAAGGGAUAAAGGUUAAAAUGCACGACUUGCAUUUUUUGAUUUUGUAAAAGAGAUUUGUCCGU